Mauremys reevesii (Reeves's turtle) is the source of this 542-nucleotide long non-coding RNA. RefSeq lists it as uncharacterized. The transcript is spliced from 4 exons. The record is from RefSeq and is a predicted model, not a curated record. NCBI's taxonomy places the organism in Eukaryota, Metazoa, Chordata, Testudines, Geoemydidae.
GAGUCCAAUAAAUGGUAGUUGCAGAAAAAUUGAGAAAAUGACCAUUUGAAACCUGUAAACUGUGGAUGUGCUGGAUUAUCUGGAAAGGGAUUGGAUCAUCGAAAGUAGCAUAGAAGAACUGGUUCAGUGAUCUCCCACUGAAAAAUCUGAUUGAUUUGAGUUUGUCCACCUGAUCAAGGAAUCCCAAGGUAAAACUGCUUUUUGCAAAGAGAACAGGAAACCUGUCAAUGACGGUGAAGGGUGUGCCCUAAAGGUCAAAGGGUAAAUGCUGCUUUCUGCAGCACAGCUAAAUAUACCCAGCUCCACCAAGCAAUUCUGCUUCUCCUCCCUCAGUUACAGGAGUCUGUCACAGUUUUGAAGAGAGAUUGAAAAGGUCAGGAUUGUUUGCUUUAGGAGGAGAAGACUAAACGGCAGUGUACAAAAUACCUCAUGGCAUAGAAACAUGGCUUGGAGACUUCCAUUCUCCCUUUCUGACAAUUCAAGAACAGGACAGCUAAAGUAAUGGAAAGGCAGAACAUCUAAAAAAAAAAUCAGUCGCUCUG